RNAcentral lists this transfer RNA (77 nucleotides) under Candidatus Rokuibacteriota bacterium. RNAcentral describes it as "tRNA-Pro". It matches the Rfam family "tRNA". From Rfam's summary of the family: Transfer RNA (tRNA) molecules are approximately 80 nucleotides in length. Their secondary structure includes four short double-helical elements and three loops (D, anti-codon, and T loops). Lineage: Bacteria; Candidatus Rokuibacteriota. The record is from RNAcentral.
CGGGGUGUGGCGCAGCUCGGUAGCGCACCUGCUUUGGGAGCAGGGGGUCGGAGGUUCAAAUCCUCUCACCCCGACCA